UCGCCUGUUUUUCAAAAACAUGUCCUUUGGUUUAUAUAAAAGUUCCGCCCUGCCCAAUGAUUUUGUUUAAGGGCUGCAGUAUCUGGACUGUCCAAAGGUAGCAUAUUCACUUGUCCUUUAAUUGAGGUCUAGGAUGAAUGGUCAGAUGAAAAAUAUACUUUCUUUAUUUUAUAUAAAAAAAUUAAUCUUUUGGUUAAAAAGCUAAAAUAUAUUUAUAGGACGAGAAGACCCUAUAGAACUUUAUUUAUAUCAUAUAUAUAUGAUAUAGCUAAUAUUAAUUAAUAUAUGUUAAUUAAAUUUUGUUGGGGUGACAGAAAAAAAUUAAUAACUUUUUCUAUUUUUGUCAUUUUAUAUGACUUUUUGAUCCUUUUUUAUGGAUAAAAAGAUUAAGUUACCUUAGGGAUAACAGCGUUAUUAUUUUGGAGAGUUCUUAUCGAUAAAAUAGUUUGCGACCUCGAUGUUGGAUUAAAAAAAAAUAUAGGAAUAAAAAAUUAUUUUUUAAGUCUGUUCGACCUUUUAACUUUUACAUGAUCUGAGUUCAAACCGGAGA
RNAcentral lists this ribosomal RNA (550 nucleotides) under Blepharidopterus chlorionis. RNAcentral's name for it is "partial 16S ribosomal RNA". It matches the Rfam family "Bacterial large subunit ribosomal RNA", at positions 1796 to 2622 of the family's 2925-position model. Lineage: Eukaryota; Metazoa; Arthropoda; Insecta; Hemiptera; Miridae. The record is from RNAcentral.